RNAcentral lists this long non-coding RNA (431 nucleotides) under Homo sapiens (human). Its description in RNAcentral is "non-protein coding lnc-LIN28B-7:1". Lineage: Eukaryota; Metazoa; Chordata; Mammalia; Primates; Hominidae. The record is from RNAcentral.
AGUCACCAAACACUAUAUGGAAGCUGGCUGGGGAGUCUGCAUUUCCUGAGGGCCACAUGCUGGGAGUCUGGUUGUAAUCAUCAUUAUUAUUGAUCAGAACUGAACCUUGGUUGAUGGUGUAUGAAGUAGUAUAAUGAUGUGAGCUUUUGGUGUGCAAACAUACACAGUUCAUUGACUUUACUCGCAAAUCUCCACAGAGUGCUCAUCAAACGGUAUAGGAGCUGCCCCAGAAAGGAGUAUCCAUCCAAAAUAGUCAGUUACAAGAUAAACCAAAAAGAUAGUGGCCAGAGAAAGGAAUUCCAAAAUGACAGAUAUGUGUUACAAGUUCAGAAAAGCAGAGAAAAUAAGAAACAGAAGCAUAAAGCUGAGGUUAAAAAGGCUUCUCUCUCGAAGGCCUUUCCCACAAAGCAGUUGCUCAGAAAGCACAAAUU